UGCAUUCACUACUGUAAGUCGCUCUGGAUAAGAGCGUCUGCUAAAUAUGUAAAA
Molecule: non-coding RNA, 54 nt
Organism: Salmo salar (Atlantic salmon)
Lineage: Eukaryota; Metazoa; Chordata; Actinopteri; Salmoniformes; Salmonidae
Source: Rfam